GACGAACGCUGGCGGCGUGCUUAACACAUGCAAGUCGAACGGAAAGGCCCUGCUUUUGUGUGGUGCUCGAGUGGCGAACGAGCGAGUAACAAGUGAGUAACCUGCCCUUGACUUUGGGAUAACUUCAGGCAACUGGGGCUAAUAACGGAUAGGAGCUCCUGCUGCAUGGUGGGGGUGGGAAAGUUUCGGCGGUUGGGGAUGGGCUCGCGGCUUAUCAGCUUGUUGGUGGGGUAGUGGCUUACCAAGGCUUUGACGGGUAGCCGGCCUGAGAGGGUGACCGGCCACAUGGGGACUGAGAUACGGCCCAGACUCCUACGGGAGGCAGCAGUGGGGAAGAUUGCACAAUGGGCGGAAGCCUGAUGCAGCAACGCCGCGUGCGGGAUGACGGCCUUCGGGUUGUAAACCGCUUUCGCCUGUGACGAAGCGUGAGUGACGGUAAUGGGUAAAGAAGCACCGGCUAACUACGUG
Molecule: ribosomal RNA, 468 nt
Filed under: uncultured bacterium
Lineage: Bacteria
Description: partial 16S ribosomal RNA
Rfam family: Bacterial small subunit ribosomal RNA
Source: RNAcentral